RNAcentral lists this ribosomal RNA (468 nucleotides) under uncultured bacterium. RNAcentral's name for it is "partial 16S ribosomal RNA". It matches the Rfam family "Bacterial small subunit ribosomal RNA", at positions 28 to 507 of the family's 1533-position model. The record is from RNAcentral.
GACGAACGCUGGCGGCGUGCUUAACACAUGCAAGUCGAACGGAAAGGCCCUGCUUUUGUGGGGUGCUCGAGUGGCGAACGGGUGAGUAACACGUGAGUAACCUGCCCUUGACUUUGGGAUAACUUCAGGAAACUGGUGCUAAUACCUGAUAGGAGCUCCUGCUGCAUGGUGGGGGUUGGAAAGUUUCGGCGGUUGGGGAUGGACACGCGGCUUAUCAGCUUGUUGGUGGGGUAGUGGCUUACCAAGGCUUUGACGGGUAGCCGGCCUGAGAGGGUGACCGGCCACAUUGGGACUGAGAUACGGCCCAGACUCCUACGGGAGGCAGCAGUGGGGAAUAUUGCACAAUGGGCGGAAGCCUGAUGCAGCAACGCCGCGUGCGGGAUGACGGCCUUCGGGUUGUAAACCGCUUUCGCCUAUGACGAAGCGUGAGUGACGGUAAUGGGUAAAGAAGCACCGGCUAACUACGUG